AGCUUGCUCCCUUAGGUCAGCGGCGGACGGGUGAGUAACACGUGGGUAACCUGCCUGUAAGACUGGGAUAACUCCGGGAAACCGGGGCUAAUACCGGAUGCUUGAUUGAACCGCAUGGUUCAAUCAUAAAAGGUGGCUUUUAGCUACCACUUACAGAUGGACCCGCGGCGCAUUAGCUAGUUGGUGAGGUAACGGCUCACCAAGGCGACGAUGCGUAGCCGACCUGAGAGGGUGAUCGGCCACACUGGGACUGAGACACGGCCCAGACUCCUACGGGAGGCAGCAGUAGGGAAUCUUCCGCAAUGGACGAAAGUCUGACGGAGCAACGCCGCGUGAGUGAUGAAGGUUUUCGGAUCGUAAAACUCUGUUGUUAGGGAAGAACAAGUACCGUUCGAAUAGGGCGGCACCUUGACGGUACCUAACCAGAAAGCCACGGCUAACUACGUGCCAGCAGCCGCGGUAAUACGUAGGUGGCAAGCGUUGUCCGGAAUUAUUGGGCGUAAAGCGCGCGCAGGCGGUUUCUUAAGUCUGAUGUGAAAGCCCCCGGCUCAACCGGGGAGGGUCAUUGGAAACUGGGGAACUUGAGUGCAGAAGAGGAGAGUGGAAUUCCACGUGUAGCGGUGAAAUGCGUAGAGAUGUGGAGGAACACCAGUGGCGAAGGCGACUCUCUGGUCUGUAACUGACGCUGAGGCGCGAAAGCGUGGGGAGCGAACAGGAUUAGAUACCCUGGUAGUCCACGCCGUAAACGAUGAGUGCUAAGUGUUAGAGGGUUUCCGCCCUUUAGUGCUGCAGCAAACGCAUUAAGCACUCCGCCUGGGGAGUACGGUCGCAAGACUGAAACUCAAAGGAAUUGACGGGGGCCCGCACAAGCGGUGGAGCAUGUGGUUUAAUUCGAAGCAACGCGAAGAACCUUACCAGGUCUUGACAUCCUCUGACAACCCUAGAGAUAGGGCUUCCCCUUCGGGGGCAGAGUGACAGGUGGUGCAUGGUUGUCGUCAGCUCGUGUCGUGAGAUGUUGGGUUAAGUCCCGCAACGAGCGCAACCCUUGAUCUUAGUUGCCAGCAUUCAGUUGGGCACUCUAAGGUGACUGCCGGUGACAAACCGGAGGAAGGUGGGGAUGACGUCAAAUCAUCAUGCCCCUUAUGACCUGGGCUACACACGUGCUACAAUGGGCAGAACAAAGGGCAGCGAAGCCGCGAGGCUAAGCCAAUCCCACAAAUCUGUUCUCAGUUCGGAUCGCAGUCUGCAACUCGACUGCGUGAAGCUGGAAUCGCUAGUAAUCG
Molecule: ribosomal RNA, 1283 nt
Filed under: Bacillus licheniformis
Lineage: Bacteria; Bacillati; Bacillota; Bacilli; Caryophanales; Bacillaceae
Description: bacterial SSU rRNA
Rfam family: Bacterial small subunit ribosomal RNA
Source: RNAcentral